RNAcentral lists this ribosomal RNA (497 nucleotides) under uncultured bacterium. RNAcentral's name for it is "partial 16S ribosomal RNA". It matches the Rfam family "Bacterial small subunit ribosomal RNA", at positions 28 to 507 of the family's 1533-position model. The record is from RNAcentral.
GAUGAACGCUGGCGGCGUGCCUAAUACAUGCAAGUCGAGCGAACAGAUGAGGAGCUUGCUCCUCUGACGUUAGCGGCGGACGGGUGAGUAACACGUGUAUAACCUACCUAUAAGACUGGGAUAACUUCGGGAAACCGGAGCUAAUACCGGAUAAUAUAUUGAACCGCAUGGUUCAAUAGUGAAAGACGGUUUUGCUGUCACUUAUAGAUGGAUCCGCGCCGCAUUAGCUAGUUGGUAAGGUAACGGCUUACCAAGGCAACGAUGCGUAGCCGACCUGAGAGGGGGAUCGGCAACACUGGAACUGAGACACGGUCCAGACUCCUACGGGAGGCAGCAGUAGGGAAUAUUGCGCAAUGGGCGAAAGCCUGACGGAGCAACGCCGCGUGAGUGAUGAAGGUCUUCGGAUCGUAAAACUCUGUUAUUAGGGAAGAAAAAAUGUGUAAGUAACUAUGCACGUCUUGACGGUACCUAAUCAGAAAGCAACGGCUAACUACGCG